UUUAAGCGUAACCUUGAGUUUCCAUGUCUAAUUUUGAUCGUCUAUCUUAUUUGAAAUAUUUUAUGACUAGUAUUUUUAUUGAUGUUAGAUGACAAAACAUGAAUAAUACUUUAUGCGUGACUUAUAUUUUUGUUUUUUUAAUUUUUAGAAAAGUUUUCAAAUAAGACGGACGAUUAAAGUUGGACACGAAAACUCAUGGCUGCGUUUAAA
Oryza nivara is the source of this 210-nucleotide non-coding RNA. Lineage: Eukaryota; Viridiplantae; Streptophyta; Magnoliopsida; Poales; Poaceae. The record is from Rfam.